This 928-nucleotide long non-coding RNA is filed under the name Vigna radiata. RNAcentral's name for it is "long non-coding RNA (VRAD_LNC013930)". Lineage: Eukaryota; Viridiplantae; Streptophyta; Magnoliopsida; Fabales; Fabaceae. The record is from RNAcentral.
AUACACUUACAACAUAAACAUUCACGCAAUAAAUAAAUGAGUAAAUACUCUAAAUCAAUAAUAUCAUCACAUUCAUCAUAUAAUAAUACAAAGGUAAGCUUCCCAUACCUUAGCCAAUAAAAAAAAUAAGUUUUCCCCUUUCUUUUACAGACUCUCUUUCUCUUCAAUUUCUCUAUUUAAUGCUAUCUUUUUCCUUCUCUCACAAAAGUAACCUAACUCUUUUUAUAUUUUCCUUUCUUUAUAAAUAAAACUUAUAACUGCUCUUGCUAAAAUCUUUCACCCACUAUUCCUAAAAUCUUUCAACCACUAUUUAAAAACAUAACUGCUAUAUCUUUUAUUUUCUUUUUCUGCUUAUUUUAUUUAGUGUAACCCUCAGCCAAAAAUAAAAAAAUAAAAUUUCAAUAUUUCUCAUAAACCUCCCUCUCUAGGAUUUGAACUCACACUCAUACAACCUUAUACACACAAAUCAACCAACAAACCAAUACACCACAUUGAUAAUUUCAGACAUUAUAAUUGUAACAAAUGAACAAUAACUUAUGUUGCAUUUAAAUUAACAAAACCAUUAAAUAACAUACAUUUUUUUAUGUUCUAAUCAAGACUAGAGCACAUAACCAUUCAACUUUCAUUAAAAAUUACUCACAUCUCAUCACUUUAUUAUUCAUACGCCCUAUAUUUUUCUCGGGUCUUACAUUCACCCCACCUCAAAAAAUUUUCGCCCUCGAAAAUUGAUCUAUUCAACAAAAAGAUAAGGAUAUUCUUUCUUCAUGAACUCUUCUAACUCCCAAGUCAUCUCUUGUGUAACUUCAUCCCAAAGCACCUUUACUGUACGAAUGUCUUUGCCUCUUAACUUCUUGGUUUGCAUAUCUAAUACUCGUACCGGUCCAGCCUCUAUGGUUAAAUCUUCCUGAACUUGGACGUCAUCCACCUC